RNAcentral lists this transfer RNA (97 nucleotides) under Elsinoe australis. RNAcentral describes it as "tRNA-Val". Lineage: Eukaryota; Fungi; Ascomycota; Dothideomycetes; Myriangiales; Elsinoaceae. The record is from RNAcentral.
GGUUCGAUGGUGUAGUUGGUUAUCACUUCUGUCUAACACAGUGCCUCGGCACAAGUGGUAUCACAGGCGGUCUCCGGUUCGAGCCCGGAUCGAAUCA